This 399-nucleotide ribosomal RNA is filed under the name uncultured bacterium. Its description in RNAcentral is "bacterial SSU rRNA". It matches the Rfam family "Bacterial small subunit ribosomal RNA", at positions 356 to 773 of the family's 1533-position model. The record is from RNAcentral.
GGGGGAUAUUGCACAAUGGAGGAAACUCUGAUGCAGCGACGCCGCGUGAGGGAAGAAGGUCUUCGGAUUGUAAACCUCUGUCCCUGGUGACGAUAAUGACGGUAGCCAGGGAGGAAGCCACGGCUAACUACGUGCCAGCAGCCGCGGUAAUACGUAGGUGGCAAGCGUUGUCCGGAAUUACUGGGUGUAAAGGGAGCGUAGGCGGGUGCGCAAGUUGAAUGUCAAAUCUACCGGCUUAACUGGUAGCCGCGUUCAAAACUGCGUAUCUUGAGUGAAGUAGAGGCAGGCGGAAUUCCUAGUGUAGCGGUGAAAUGCGUAAAUAUUAGGAGGAACACCAGUGGCGAAGGCGGCCUGCUGGGCUUUAACUGACGCUGAGGCUCGAAAGCGUGGGUAGCAAAC